AGCCUUAUAGUCAAUUUUAUGAUUCUAAAUUGCAAGUUUGGAGUAGGGGCAGCCCUAAGGCUU
This 63-nucleotide transfer RNA is filed under the name Staphylinidae sp. BMNH 1274706. RNAcentral's name for it is "tRNA-Cys". The record is from RNAcentral. Lineage: Eukaryota; Metazoa; Arthropoda; Insecta; Coleoptera; Staphylinidae.